UACGGAGGGUGCAAGCGUUAAUCGGAAUUACUGGGCAUAAAGCGUGCGCAGGCGGUUUGUUAAGUCCGUUGUGAAAGCCCCGAGCUCAACUUGGGAAUUGCAGUGGAUACUGGCAGGCUGGAGUACGGUAGAGGAAGGUGGAAUUCCCGGUGUAGCAGUGAAAUGCGUAGAUAUCGGGAGGAACACCAGUGGCGAAGGCGGCCUUCUGGACCAGUACUGACGCUCAUGCACGAAAGCGUGGGGAGCAAACAGG
This 253-nucleotide ribosomal RNA is filed under the name uncultured bacterium. RNAcentral describes it as "partial 16S ribosomal RNA". It matches the Rfam family "Bacterial small subunit ribosomal RNA", at positions 524 to 776 of the family's 1533-position model. The record is from RNAcentral.